Symphalangus syndactylus (siamang) is the source of this 2293-nucleotide RNA transcript. It is a transcript of the gene named zinc finger MYND-type containing 12, with no coding region annotated. The record is from RefSeq and is a predicted model, not a curated record. Lineage: Eukaryota; Metazoa; Chordata; Mammalia; Primates; Hylobatidae.
AGAACUGGCCAUGUUUGACCCUUACCGGCCACUAUACGGGCCUUCCUGAACCUGGACUCCUUGGGAGUCGUUUCUCAGCCAUUUGACCCGUGGGACUUGUGGGUUUUGUGCUUUUCUUUCUUUCCCUUUUUCAACUUCAACAGUAGACCCAGAUGUUAGUCGAGUCACGUCCCGCCGCCCUCUGCCCUAGAAAUGCUGGCAAGUACGCGGGCCCGCGAUCGUCACGUGACGCCGUGGUUCAGCGUAUCCUUGCCGGGCAACCGUCUUAGAGACCAGCACCGCUGGCUGCACCAUGAAUGUGAUCUACCCACUGGCGGUCCCCAAGGGGCGCAGGCUCUGCUGUGAGGUGUGCGAAGCCCCAGCCGAGCGGGUGUGCGCGGCCUGCACAGUCACUUAUUACUGUGGCGUGGUACAUCAGAAAGCUGACUGGGACAGCAUCCAUGAGAAAAUAUGUCAGCUCUUGAUUCCACUGCGCACUUGCAUGCCCUUCUACAAUUCGGAGGAAGAACGGCAGCAUGGCCUGCAGCAGCUGCAGCAGCGGCAGAAGUAUUUGAUUGAAUUCUGCUACACCGUAGCCCAGAAAUACCUCUUUGAAGGGAAACACGAAGAUGCUGUACCAGCAGCUUUGCAUUCCCUUCGCUUCCGUGUGACCCUGUACGGCCUGAGCUCCGUAGAGCUUGUGCCUGCUUACCUGCUGUUGGCCGAGGCCAGCCUUGAUACCUCCUCCCUCUCCACGGGCUCUGACUCCCCAUUCCAGGCUGCCUCUGCUGCAUGGAUCCCUCCUCCCUUGUAUGGGUUCCGACUCCCCAUACCAGGCUGUUUGCCUGCAGGAAUGCCCUGCUCACCCUGCUCAGGUCUGGGCCGAAUCGUUCAGGCUGAAGAAUAUCUAUUCCAAGCCCAGUGGGCAGUCCUCAAAUCAACUGACUGUAGUAAUGCCACCCACUCUUUACUGCAUCGGAAUCUGGGACUUCUCUAUAUAGCUAAGAAAAACUAUGAAGAAGCCCGUUAUCAUCUGGCCAAUGAUAUUUAUUUUGCCAGUUGUGCAUUUGGAACAGAGGACAUUAGGACUUCAGGAGGCUACUUCCACCUGGCUAAUAUAUUCUAUGACCUUAAAAAGUUGGACCUGGCAGACACAUUGUACACCAAGGUCUCUGAGAUCUGGCAUGCAUAUUUGAACAAUCACUAUCAAGUCCUCUCACAGGCUCACACCCAACAAAUGGAUUUACUGGGCAAACUAUUUGAGAAUGACACUGGCUUGGAUGAAGCCCAGGAAGCAGAAGCCAUUCGCAUCCUGACUUCAAUCUUGAACAUUCGAGAAUCUACAUCUGACAAAGCCCCCCAAAAAACCAUCUUUGUUCUGAAGAUCCUGGUCAUGCUUUACUACCUGAUGAUGAAUUCUUCAAAGGCACAGGAAUAUGGCAUGAGGGCCCUCAGUCUAGCUAAAGAACAGCAGCUUGAUGUCCAUGAGCAAAGCACCAUUCAAGAGUUACUGAAUCUCAUUUCAACUGAAGACCAUCCCAUUACUUAGUGACCCAUGAGCUCUGCAUCAAGGGUUAUUCCAGGGACUACUGAAGAUCUAAUAUAUUCCAGCCUUGCACAACUGCUUUGAGUUCCUCUCCAGACUUGCCAAGCAGCAUUUUGCUUCAUGAGUAGAUCUGCACCCAGGGAGAAGAUAUGCAGGUCAAGAACCUGUCAGAGAGUUUUAUGUUCCUCACUGUAAAUUAAUUCACUCAGACACAUAUAAUAAAAAUAAGUCAGAUGGGUCACCCUUCCCCUUCAGGUAAAAUCAGCUGGAAACCACCCCCACCACCCCCCCGCUCCCAUGCCCCCUCCUUCCAUACUUCUGGGCAUUCUUAUGCUUCUCCAUGAUGGCUAUGAAGUCCCAGGGGCUUACUUGUCUUUCAGCCAUCUCUUGAUCUAAUUUUCAGCCUCAGAUGAAUUCUCAUUCUCCAGUCAACAUUGUGUAGCACUUUCUUCUUCUCUUUAAAGACAGAGCGCCUUCUUCUUAUCUCUUAACCCGUAACCCCAAAUAUGAGUCAGCUCUUUCAAAUAGACUCUUAAUGAAGACUGGAGGGUUAAGGAGGAGGAUCAACAACUCUUCAGCAGAUAAUUUAAAAGAAAAUAUUAGAACUUACCUAUUCUAAAAACAUUCUAAAAAGUCCAUUUUACUAGACUCUCACUCUGUUCUUUAUUCCUUGGCCUCUUUCUGCCUUCUUACUCCUGUCUUAUCCUCCCUGAAUUUCUGUUCAUUAACGCUUCUGCAUUGAAUAAAUUUAUAAAGUUAUUGUUUAAA